UUAAGUUUCAGCCUUGCGGCCGUACUUCCAGGUGGCUCGCUUCACGGCUUCCCUACGGCACCGACAACGGUCGCACCGUGGCCGACACCUAGCGAGUAUCGUUUACGGCUAGGACUACCCGGGUAUCUAAUCCGGUUCGUGCCCCUAGCUUUCGUCCCUUGCCGUCAGGUCCGUUCUGGUGAGACGCCUUCGCCACUGGUGGUCCUUCAAGGAUUACAAGAUUUCACCCCUACCCCUGAAGUACCUCUCACCUCUCCCGGCCUCGAGCCGAACAGUAUCUCCUGAAAGCCCAACAGUUGAGCUGCUGGAUUUCUCAAGAGACUUAUCCGGCCGGCUACAGACCCUUUAGACCCAGUAAUAACGGUUACCACUCGAGCCGCCGGUGUUACCGCGGCGGCUGGCACCGGUCUUGCCCGGCCCUUGCUAUGCAAUGCUUUUUAUGCAUCACGACAGCCAGAUUUGUAACCUGGCACUCGAGGUCCCCUUAUCGCC
This 492-nucleotide ribosomal RNA is filed under the name uncultured archaeon. RNAcentral describes it as "partial 16S ribosomal RNA". The record is from RNAcentral.